This 484-nucleotide ribosomal RNA is filed under the name uncultured bacterium. RNAcentral describes it as "partial 16S ribosomal RNA". It matches the Rfam family "Bacterial small subunit ribosomal RNA", at positions 30 to 507 of the family's 1533-position model. The record is from RNAcentral.
AUUGAACGCUGGCGGCAGGCCUAACACAUGCAAGUCGAGCGGAUGAAGGGAGCUUGCUCCUGGAUUCAGCGGCGGACGGGUGAGUAAUGCCUAGGAAUCUGCCUGGUAGUGGGGGAUAACGUCCGGAAACGGGCGCUAAUACCGCAUACGUCCUGAGGGAGAAAGUAGGGGAUCUUCGGACCUCACGCUAUCAGAUGAGCCUAGGUCGGAUUAGCUAGUUGGUGGGGUAAAGGCCUACCAAGGCGACGAUCCGUAACUGGUCUGAGAGGAUGAUCAGUCACACUGGAACUGAGACACGGUCCAGACUCCUACGGGAGGCAGCAGUGGGGAAUAUUGGACAAUGGGCGAAAGCCUGAUCCAGCCAUGCCGCGUGUGUGAAGAAGGUCUUCGGAUUGUAAAGCACUUUAAGUUGGGAGGAAGGGCAGUAAGUCAAUACCUUGCUGUUUUGACGUUACCAACAGAAUAAGCACCGGCUAACUUCGUG